Long non-coding RNA from Prionailurus viverrinus (fishing cat), 512 nucleotides. RefSeq lists it as uncharacterized. The transcript is spliced from 3 exons. NCBI's taxonomy places the organism in Eukaryota, Metazoa, Chordata, Mammalia, Carnivora, Felidae. The record is from RefSeq and is a predicted model, not a curated record.
CUCAUUUAUCUUUCAGAGUUCCCGGCCAAUGCAUGAGAACACUCCCUCCAUUGGCUUCCUGGCCUCCCUUCCCACUUUCCCGCUCCUCCACAGGUAUUUCCAGGGACCCCUUCCCAAACAGACUACUUGUGCUGGAAUCUUUGUCUCGGUGCCUGCUUCUGGGAGAAUCUAAACUUGCCAUGAAAACCAAACGAGUAGAAACUUUCAAGAUGUUCCCUCCAGGCACGAAACCAAGGAGAAUGGCCUUGAACCAGACUUCUGGGGGGCAGGGAGGAAGAGCCCUCAAGAAGCCAUAUGGUGGAGCAACAAAGUGGACACAUGCUGUGUACCAAGCCAGGGUGUGGACACAGGCAUUUGCUCAUGUCAUCGGGGAACUGGCGCCAGUGGCUGAGACCUCAAACCCUAGGCUUUCAAGGUUCUCCUGGGAAGGAACGCUUCCCUUGCUCAGCAGAGUUCUGAAGGCAUCCUCAUGGACCAGCAGAAGGGGAGCAGGAAGAAGUAUGGAAAAGAAU